AUCAAGCUAAAAAAGUAUAUCUAAUUCAAAAUAGAAAAGGUUAAGGUUAAGGACUUCGGAAAUUUUUUAACAAAUCGGUAUUGUCCCAACACCUAAAGCCUCCCAAAUUGGAUAUCAAUUUAAAUUUUCUUUGUGUCAUAGCCUUUGAGUCCUUUUGAAGUGAUCUCCAAGUAAAUUAUAUGCACAUUCAGACAUACUUUUGAU
Molecule: long non-coding RNA, 204 nt
Filed under: Lathyrus oleraceus (garden pea)
Lineage: Eukaryota; Viridiplantae; Streptophyta; Magnoliopsida; Fabales; Fabaceae
Description: Pisum sativum (pea) long non-coding RNA (PSAT_LNC035555)
Source: RNAcentral